RNAcentral lists this ribosomal RNA (242 nucleotides) under Alcanivorax sp. Its description in RNAcentral is "partial 16S ribosomal RNA". It matches the Rfam family "Bacterial small subunit ribosomal RNA", at positions 949 to 1191 of the family's 1533-position model. Lineage: Bacteria; Pseudomonadati; Pseudomonadota; Gammaproteobacteria; Oceanospirillales; Alcanivoracaceae. The record is from RNAcentral.
AUUCGAUGCAACGCGAAGAACCUUACCAGUCCUUGACAUCCUGCGAACUUUCUAGAGAUAGAUUGGUGCCUUCGGGAACGCAGUGACAGGUGCUGCAUGGCUGUCGUCAGCUCGUGUCGUGAGAUGUUGGGUUAAGUCCCGUAACGAGCGCAACCCUUGUCCUUAGUUGCCAGCACUUCGGGUGGGAACUCUAGGGAGACUGCCGGUGACAAACCGGAGGAAGGUGGGGACGACGUCAAGUC